RNAcentral lists this ribosomal RNA (492 nucleotides) under uncultured bacterium. Its description in RNAcentral is "partial 16S ribosomal RNA". It matches the Rfam family "Bacterial small subunit ribosomal RNA", at positions 29 to 507 of the family's 1533-position model. The record is from RNAcentral.
AGUGAACGCUGGCGGUAGGCCUAACACAUGCAAGUCGAACGGCAGCACAGUAAGAGCUUGCUCUUACGGGUGGCGAGUGGCGGACGGGUGAGGAAUACAUCGGAAUCUACUUUUUCGUGGGGGAUAACGUAGGGAAACUUACGCUAAUACCGCAUACGACCUACGGGUGAAAGCAGGGGAUCUUCGGACCUUGCGCGAUUGAAUGAGCCGAUGUCGGAUUAGCUAGUUGGCGGGGUAAAGGCCCACCAAGGCGACGAUCCGUAGCUGGUCUGAGAGGAUGAUAAGCCACACUGGAACUGAGACACGGUCCCGACUCCUACGGGAGGCAGCAGUGGGGAAUAUUGGACAAUGGGGGCAAGCCUGAUCCAGCCAUACCGCGUGGGUGAAGAAGGCCUUCGGGUUGUAAAGCCCUUUUGUUGGGAAAGAAAAGCAGCAGGUUAAUACCCCGCUGUUCUGACGGUACCCAAAGAAUAAGCACCGGCUAACUUCGUG